CUUGCUGGAUGCUGACGAGCGGCGGACGGGUGAGUAAUGCAUAGGAAUCUGCCCGAUAGUGGGGGAUAACCUGGGGAAACCCAGGCUAAUACCGCAUACGUCCUACGGGAGAAAGGGGGCUCCGGCUCCCGCUAUGGGAUGAGCCUAUGUCGGAUUAGCUAGUUGGUGAGGUAACGGCUCACCAAGGCCACGAUCCGUAGCUGGUCUGAGAGGAUGAUCAGCCACAUCGGGACUGAGACACGGCCCGAACUCCUACGGGAGGCAGCAGUGGGGAAUAUUGGACAAUGGGGGAAACCCUGAUCCAGCCAUGCCGCGUGUGUGAAGAAGGCCCUCGGGUUGUAAAGCACUUUCAGCGAGGAAGAACGCCUAGCGGUUAAUACCCGCUAGGAAAGACAUCACUCGCAGAAGAAGCACCGGCUAACUCCGUGCCAGCAGCCGCGGUAAUACGGAGGGUGCAAGCGUUAAUCGGAAUUACUGGGCGUAAAGCGCGCGUAGGUGGCUUGAUAAGCCGGUUGUGAAAGCCCCGGGCUCAACCUGGGAACGGCAUCCGGAACUGUCAAGCUAGAGUGCAGGAGAGGAAGGUAGAAUUCCCGGUGUAGCGGUGAAAUGCGUAGAGAUCGGGAGGAAUACCAGUGGCGAAGGCGGCC
This 647-nucleotide ribosomal RNA is filed under the name Vreelandella aquamarina. RNAcentral's name for it is "bacterial SSU rRNA". It matches the Rfam family "Bacterial small subunit ribosomal RNA", at positions 77 to 726 of the family's 1533-position model. Lineage: Bacteria; Pseudomonadati; Pseudomonadota; Gammaproteobacteria; Oceanospirillales; Halomonadaceae. The record is from RNAcentral.